CCUACGGGCGGCUGCAGUGGGGAAUAUUGCACAAUGGGCGAAAGCCUGAUGCAGCGACGCCGCGUGAGGGAAGACGGUCUUCGGAUUGUAAACCUCUGUCUUCGGUGACGACCAAAGACGGUAGCCGAGGAGGAAGCCACGGCUAACUACGUGCCAGCAGCCGCGGUAAUACGUAGGUGGCAAGCGUUGUCCGGAAUUACUGGGUGUAAAGGGAGCGCAGGCGGGUAGACAAGUCAGGUGUGAAAAUUAUGGGCUUAACCCAUAACUUGCAUUUGAAACUGUUUAUCUUGAGUGGAGUAGAGGCAGGCGGAAUUCCGAGUGUAGCGGUGAAAUGCGUAGAGAUUCGGAGGAACACCAGUGGCGAAGGCGGCCUGCUGGGCUCUAACUGACGCUGAGGCUCGAAAGUGUGGGUAGCAAACAGGAUUAGAUACCCGUGUAGUC
RNAcentral lists this ribosomal RNA (441 nucleotides) under uncultured Oscillospiraceae bacterium. RNAcentral's name for it is "bacterial SSU rRNA". It matches the Rfam family "Bacterial small subunit ribosomal RNA", at positions 338 to 795 of the family's 1533-position model. The record is from RNAcentral. Lineage: Bacteria; Bacillati; Bacillota; Clostridia; Eubacteriales; Oscillospiraceae.